This 770-nucleotide ribosomal RNA is filed under the name uncultured Neocallimastigales. Its description in RNAcentral is "partial large subunit ribosomal RNA". It matches the Rfam family "Eukaryotic large subunit ribosomal RNA", at positions 24 to 614 of the family's 3401-position model. Lineage: Eukaryota; Fungi; Neocallimastigomycota; Neocallimastigomycetes; Neocallimastigales. The record is from RNAcentral.
UAUGUGAUCGUCUCUCGCAUAUCAAUAAGCGGAGGAAAAGAAAAUAACUAUGAUUCCCCUAGUAGAGGCGAUUGAACAGGGAAGAGCACAAAAUGUAAAUCUCCGUAGCAAUACGGCGAAUUGUAGUCUCAAGUUGCAUUACCAGUGUCGUCGCAAGGUUAAUUUUCCUGGAAUGGAGAACCAUAGAGGGUGAGAGUCCCGUCUUGCUUUGCGAUCCGAUGCAUACGGUGUGUAAACAAAGAGUCGCGCUCCUUGGGAAUGGAGCGCUAAUCGGGUGGUAAAUGUCAUCCAAUGCUAAAUAUUGAUGGGAGACCGAUAGCAAACAAGUACCGUGAGGGAAAGAUGAAAAGAACUUUGAAAAGAGAGUUAAACAGUACGUGAAAUUGUCAAAAGGGAAGCGUUUGACACCAGUGUUGUUUUUCUGAAAAUCAAUUAAAGAACUGUUUAUGCUAAGUUGUUUAGACUUUAUCAGCUAACUGUUUAGUUUUGAGCUUUUCUUUAAUGCACUUUUCAGUUAACAAGUCAACAUCAAUUUCUUUUGCUGUAAAAAAGCUUGAGGAAGGUGGCUUGAGAUUCGUCUUAAGUGUUUAUAGCCUCUUGCCUAUGCAGUCGGAGAGAUUGAGGUCUGCAGCGUAGAUCCUUCGGGGCUAAAUGCAUUUGUGCUAAGUUAUAGCAUUUUAUAGACAACUUGUUGACUAUGAUUUGUCUUGUAGCUUACUCGCUUAUGUUAUUUUACCUACGCUUAGGAUGUUGAGUCAUCACACAUCUCU